UGAAUGUUUUGGAUCUGUGGUAGAUGGUAGCAAAGGUUUGAUAGAAAUCAGUGGAAGUUGCAGCAAGUAUGUGCUGUCUUGUAAGAGUAGAAUUGUCGUCGAAGAAACAACGGUUUCUCGACGUAAUUUCCACCAAAAACUUGAGAGAAUUGAGGAGGGAAUUGAUAGCAAAAUCACAAUUUAUAUGACAGCAAGGAUAUCUAAUUUAAUCAAAAAAAAUUC
RNAcentral lists this long non-coding RNA (222 nucleotides) under Musa acuminata (dwarf banana). RNAcentral's name for it is "long non-coding RNA (MACU_LNC010456)". Lineage: Eukaryota; Viridiplantae; Streptophyta; Magnoliopsida; Zingiberales; Musaceae. The record is from RNAcentral.